CAGGGAUUGCCCUAGUAACGGCGAGUGAAGCGGCAACAGCUCAAAUUUGAAAUCUGGCUUCGGCCCGAGUUGUAAUUUGCAGAGGAUGCUUCUGGCGCGGUGCCUUCCGAGUUCCCUGGAACGGGACGCCACAGAGGGUGAGAGCCCCGUAUGGUCGGACACCAAGCCUGUGUGAAGCUCCUUCGACGAGUCGAGUAGUUUGGGAAUGCUGCUCUAAAUGGGAGGUAAAUCUCUUCUAAAGCUAAAUACCGGCCAGAGACCGAUAGCGCACAAGUAGAGUGAUCGAAAGAUGAAAAGCACCUUGAAAAGGGGGUUAAAUAGUACGUGAAAUUGUUGAAAGGGAAGCACUUAUGACCAGACUUGGGCCGGGCGGCUCAUCAGGGGUUCUCCCCUGUGCACUCCGCCCGGCACAGGCCAGCAUCGGUUCUCGUGGGGGGAUAAGACCGUCAGGAACGUAGCACCCUCCGGGGUGUGUUAUAGCCUGGCGGACGAUACCCCCGUGGGGACCGAGGUCCGCGCUCCGCAAGGAUGCUGGCGUAAUGGUCAUCAGUGACCCGUCUUGAAACACGGACCAAGGAGUCGUCCAUUAGAGCGAGCGUUUGGGUGUAAAACCCGCACGCGUAAUGAAAGUGAACGCAGGUGAGAGCUUCGGCGCAUCAUCGACCGAUCCUGAUGUUCUCGGAAGGAUUUGAGUAAGAGUUUUAACGGACGGACCCGAAAGACAGUGAACUAUGCUUGUAUAGGGUGAAGCCAGAGGAAACUCUGGUGGAGGCUCGCAGCGGUUCUGACGUGCAAAUCGAUCGUCAAAUAUGAGCAUGGGGGCGAAAGACUAAUCGAACU
This 840-nucleotide ribosomal RNA is filed under the name Diaporthe biguttusis. RNAcentral's name for it is "eukaryotic LSU rRNA". It matches the Rfam family "Eukaryotic large subunit ribosomal RNA", at positions 69 to 941 of the family's 3401-position model. The record is from RNAcentral. Lineage: Eukaryota; Fungi; Ascomycota; Sordariomycetes; Diaporthales; Diaporthaceae.